This 1324-nucleotide long non-coding RNA is filed under the name Macaca fascicularis (crab-eating macaque). RNAcentral's name for it is "lncRNA (ENSMFAG00000053706.1)". Lineage: Eukaryota; Metazoa; Chordata; Mammalia; Primates; Cercopithecidae. The record is from RNAcentral.
CAUUUCUAUGGCAUCAUCUGCCACAGCAACUAGCACAUUGGUACUCAUGCAUACCCACUAAUAGAAAGGAUCAAUGGCACAUUCUUCACUGUGAAUAGUAAUUUAGUGAUCUGUUUCCCAGGAGUCUGAGCAAUAUAAGGCAUUUUUUUUUCAGGUUCUAACCCACUCCGCCAUCCCUACCUCUCCUUCUACCUUGCUCUGUUAAAUUGGAGCAUAAGAUUCCUGCUUUGCAUGAUAGGCAAUGCAAGCUUUAAGGUUCACAAACACAACAGUGACUGAGAGCAUUUCCUCUCCAUGAACCUUACAUUUGCAAUGCAUCCCCUCUUCCUGCUAUUGCUAUAACGUAUAUCAAUGCAGUGUUGAUCUCAAAUUGGUGUUAAAAUAAAAACCACAACUAAAACCAAACAAAGCACAUUUUUAUGUGCAGGUAAGAAAACAGUUAGAUAUUAGUAGUAGGUAUCUCUGGAUUUUUUUUUAUACUUUAUCAUUUCCUGUAUUUACUCAUUUCCUAUAAUAAGCAUAUAUUUCACAAUUUUUAAAGGUAUUAAUAUUUUAAAAAUACUUCUAAGAAUAAUGUAGAACUCUCCUGUAUGUGUGAAAUAAGUAUGUCCAGCAGAUGGCACAAAAUCCCUAAUCCAGAAUUAAAACAGUUAAAAAAACAAACAAACAAAAAAAACUUGCUACUUGAAGAAUGCCAUGUGAAGGGCAUGUAUCUUAGUGACCAGGAAUCAGCCAAAAUGGACACUGCUUCCAGAAUCUUCAUCUCCAUUAGGUAUGAUUUGUUUGUCUCUGCUAUAAUCAAAGGUGAGUCGUGUCAGAGGAAAGGAAGGGGCCUUUGUGAUAUGCAAGAUGUGUGGGACCUGCAGAGGCUGCAGGGCAAGUUGGACUGUGCAAAACAUUCUCGAAAAGUGGACAAGCUGUGUAUUAAUGCGGUGUCACAUCUGGAGAGGGCUUUGGAGCCCAUAUAGUCCAUGUGUUUUCAGACAAUGUUUUUACCAUUUUUUUUCCUAAAUAAACUUCAAUGUAUGAAACCAACAAAAGUGAAUCUCUCCUACUUAAAGCAGGGGAUGGGAUGGGAGGCAAGGGCCAUGCUGGUCCUUCUCUUUGUCCCAGCGUAGCCCCACCCCUUAUAGCUGACAUAGUCAAUAACUGGCUAUACUUAAUCAACAUUUAUGGAAACCAUAAAAUACUUCCACUCUUGGUUUUCCCUAGAGAAAACCCCUAAUGCAGUGGUUUCAUUUUACUGCUGAGAAAAGGGCUGCUCAGAGGAGAGUUGCAAAUUAAAAAUGGAAAAACAUAUAAAAAGCAAAAAAAAAAAAAAAGU